CGCACAUUCGUCAUUCUUCUCUGUUGUUCGGUUUCUCCAGAUCCAUCGAGAGAGAGCUCAGAUUUUUCCCCUUUCUCCGUCCUCGCUUUUUGACCGACGCCGGCGACUGUGAAUGAGGAGCCUUCCUUCCCCUCCUCCGCUGUGCUGCUGUGUAGGAACGUUGGAGUUCAUCAUUUUCCCCUGCUUUGCGUCGCUGGUGUUCGCUGCCAUGGAGGCUUUGUCAGUCUCUCGGUUGUUCUUCCUUCACCUCUGUUAGUUUCGUUCUAAGUGCUUCAAUAUCGUGCAGUGGGAAUGAUUUCUGUCGUGGUUGGAGGUCCGAUUUGCUGGUCCUCCCAUUUCCCCUGUGACGCUGUUCCUCUGUUUCUCACUGGUUCAAACGUUGCCAUCGGGUUGUGUGUGGCUGUGGGAAGCAUCAAACCUUUUCUAUUCUUCUAUCAUUGUUCUAUUGGUAAUGGAUAAGCAAUGGAGAACAUCUGGAAAAUGCUUUGGAGGUUGAAUGUACUAGAAAUGUAACAAUGUAGGAAUUUUUUU
Long non-coding RNA from Prosopis cineraria, 531 nucleotides. RefSeq lists it as uncharacterized. The record is from RefSeq and is a predicted model, not a curated record. NCBI's taxonomy places the organism in Eukaryota, Viridiplantae, Streptophyta, Magnoliopsida, Fabales, Fabaceae. The transcript has 2 exons.